GAUGAACGCUAGCGGCAGGCUUAAUACAUGCAAGUCGAGGGGCAGCAGGACUGUAGCAAUACAGUUGCUGGCGACCGGCAAACGGGUGCGGAACACGUACGCAACCUACCCAAAACUGGGGGAUAGCCCGGGGAAACCCGGAUUAAUACCUCGUAACCUUUUUAAGUGGCAUCACUUGAUAAGUAUAGCUCCGGCGGUUUUGGAUGGGCGUGCGCCUGAUUAGGUAGUUGGUGCGGGUAACGGCCCACCAAGCCUGCGAUCAGUAACUGGUGUGAGAGCACGACCAGUCACACGGGCACUGAGACACGGGCCCGACUCCUACGGGAGGCAGCAGUAAGGAAUAUUGGCCAAUGGACGCAAGUCUGAACCAGCCAUGCCGCGUGAAGGAUGAAGGUCCUCUGGAUUGUAAACUUCUUUUAUGGGGGACGAAACCCGGAUAUUCUUAUCCGAUUGACGGUACCUCAGGAAUAAGCACCGGCUAACUCCGUG
This 489-nucleotide ribosomal RNA is filed under the name uncultured bacterium. RNAcentral describes it as "partial 16S ribosomal RNA". It matches the Rfam family "Bacterial small subunit ribosomal RNA", at positions 28 to 507 of the family's 1533-position model. The record is from RNAcentral.